This 575-nucleotide ribosomal RNA is filed under the name Nigrospora sphaerica. Its description in RNAcentral is "eukaryotic LSU rRNA". The stretch from base 208 to 361 matches the Rfam family "5.8S ribosomal RNA". Lineage: Eukaryota; Fungi; Ascomycota; Sordariomycetes; Amphisphaeriales; Apiosporaceae. The record is from RNAcentral.
GGAAGUAAAAGUCGUAACAAGGUCUCCGUUGGUGUACCUGCGGAGGGAUCAUUACAGAGUUAUCCAACUCCCAAACCCAUGUGAACAUAUCUCUUUGUUGCCUCGGCGCAAGCUACCCGGGACCUCGCGCCCCGGGCGGCCCGCCGGCGGACAAACCAAACUCUGUUAUCUUCGUUGAUUAUCUGAGUGUCUUAUUUAAUAAGUCAAAACUUUCAACAACGGAUCUCUUGGUUCUGGCAUCGAUGAAGAACGCAGCGAAAUGCGAUAAGUAAUGUGAAUUGCAGAAUUCAGUGAAUCAUCGAAUCUUUGAACGCACAUUGCGCCCAUUAGUAUUCUAGUGGGCAUGCCUGUUCGAGCGUCAUUUCAACCCCUAAGCACAGCUUAUUGUUGGGCGUCUACGUCUGUAGUGCCUCAAAGACAUUGGCGGAGCGGCAGCAGUCCUCUGAGCGUAGUAAUUCUUUAUCUCGCUUCUGUUAGGCGCUGCCCCCCCGGCCGUAAAACCCCCAAUUUUUUCUGGUUGACCUCGGAUCAGGUAGGAAUACCCGCUGAACUUAAGCAUAUCAAUAAGCGGAGGA